GGGGCAGAUUUUGGAUUCGACAGGAUCACAGAGUUCUGCGGAGCAUGCCGAGGGGCGGUUGGCCUCGUAAAAAGCCGCAAAAAAAUAGUCGCAAACGACUCAAACUACGCACUAGCAGCUUAAUAACCUGCUCAGAGCCCUACUUCUCUAGCAUGCCUAUAAGCCUGAGAGUCCAGUAGGUCAAACCCCUAUAGGAUCGAGUGGAUGCCGUGCCCGACGGUUGAAGCUCUAAAACUAAUUCGGGAUAGUUCUUACGUGGCAUGUCAGCCGGCAGCGUAAAGGCGAAUGUAAAGGCAGACUAAGCAUGUAGCGCCGUUGGAUAAAAUGGUUUUGGACGGGGGUUCGAGUCCCCCCUGCUCCACCA
This 364-nucleotide transfer-messenger RNA is filed under the name Alginatibacterium sediminis. RNAcentral's name for it is "Standard tmRNA". It matches the Rfam family "transfer-messenger RNA". From Rfam's summary of the family: Bacterial tmRNA, also known as 10Sa RNA or SsrA, is named for its dual tRNA and mRNA-like properties. Its role is to liberate the mRNA from a stalled ribosome. To accomplish this part of the tmRNA is used as a reading frame that ends in a translation stop signal. Lineage: Bacteria; Pseudomonadati; Pseudomonadota; Gammaproteobacteria; Alteromonadales; Alteromonadaceae. The record is from Rfam by way of RNAcentral.